Molecule: ribosomal RNA, 478 nt
Filed under: uncultured Planctomycetales bacterium
Lineage: Bacteria; Pseudomonadati; Planctomycetota; Planctomycetia; Planctomycetales
Description: bacterial SSU rRNA
Rfam family: Bacterial small subunit ribosomal RNA
Source: RNAcentral
UUUCGCAAUGCCCGAAAGGGUGACGAAGCGACGCCGCGUGUGGGAAGAAGGCCUUCGGGUUGUAAACCACUGUCGGGAGUUAGGAAGUGCAAGAGUGUGAAUAGCGCUUUUGCUUGACUAAGGCUCCGGAGGAAGCCACGGCUAACUCUGUGCCAGCAGCCGCGGUAAUACAGAGGCGGCAAGCGUUGUUCGGAAUUACUGGGCGUAAAGAGCACGUAGGCGGCCUUGUAAGUCAGUUGUGAAAGCCUUCCGCUUAACGGAAGAACUGCUGCUGAGACUGCAAGGCUUGAAUGCGGGAGGGGAGAGUGGAACUUCUGGUGGAGCGGUGAAAUGCGUAGAUAUCAGAAGGAACGCCGGCGGCGAAAGCGACUCUCUGGCCCGUGAUUGACGCUGAGUGUGCGAAAGCUAGGGGAGCAAACGGGAUUAGAUACCCCGGUAGUCCUAGCCGUAAACGAUGGGCACUAAGUAGAGGGGUUUU